UGAAUCUCUAGAAUCCCCUUCUCUCUCCUCUUUCUUCUUCCGAGCCCGAUACCACUCUUUCUUUUCUUCUCUCACAUUUCAGUCGGCUAGACCAGAUGAGCCAUCUCUGGCCACCACCUAAUGACACGCACCCCACCACAAGCUUCCUUGGCCCUCGAAACCCCCAACACGUGAAGCUCACCUCCCCACUCGCCAGCCUCCGUCGCGACUGGCUCCCCGAAGUUCCGUCGCCACUGUGAGUUUGGAGGAUUUUUCUAGCCUUCAGCGUGGACGAUGAAGGCUCCUGCUGGCGACGACAAUGGCGAAGGCGACGGGGAAGGCUCCUGAGCUGGUGAAGUUCUCAGGCGUGGGUGGUGCUGCCAUUCUCUUCAAGGAAUUGAGUUGGGGCUCAAGUCUGCUGUCACGGCCACAUGCACUUCUCUCCAUGGAUUUUGAGGUGUAAUUUCAACUUGCACAUGUUGGAUGGACUGACUUUCAUGCUUCUAGUUUUAUUCUUUUUCUCACUAUAGCUGAGAAAUUAACUCCAGGUAAUUUUUAUUUUUGAGGAAAAAAAAAAGAACAUAUGCUCUUAUGAGCUUAAUUGAGACAACGCCAUCUAUGUCUUUUGUUCAUAUUGGUGACUGCAAUAUACGUGGGCAGGAAACUCUUGUCUGCAAUAUCAGUGAAAUGCAUCAUAUGACCUUAAUUUUAUUGAUUUGGCUUGUAUAUGACAUGAUAUUAAUAGUAUUGCUUUAGCUUGACUAUGACAUUAAUUUUAUUGGUAUUUACUCAACAAUGCUUUAACAUUUUAAAGUAAUGAUUAUGAACAUAAAGUAAUGAUCAAGCCUUCAUAGAAUCCAUGUGUUGUCCUUCUACCUUAUAGAAUCCAUGUGUUGUCCUUAUUGACAUGUAAUGAAAUUUUUAUGACAAUACUGUUCAAUAUAUAGUAUCAAUUUUAUAAGGUAAUGUUUCUUAAAGAAAUGAUGUUAUUUAGAAUAAAUAUUCUCACAAAAGUAUUAUUAUUGUUUUUAUAAAAGUUUAUAAAAAUUCAAAUUAUUCAACUAAUUUCCAGUUUUGUUUCACUUUGGUUAAAGUAAUAGAAAAUUUUGGCAAAUAGUAUUAUUAGUAAUAUUUCUAUUAUAAAAUCCUGCUUAGGGUCAUGAGAGAAGUGUUCCUAACAUGUAAUUAAAGUCUCUUGAGUAUUAUACUUCAAGAAUCUUCUUUGUAAAUGCAAAUCUUGUAAUUUUUAUGUAGAACAUGUUGCAGGUGCUUUUGGUUGUGAGAUAAUGACUCUUUUGUUUGUUACUGCUACUAUGCAUGUACUCUGUACCUUUUGGAAGUUUGUUCAAAAAUUCAGAUUGUUAUAUUUGAAUCUUAUAUAAUCUAAUGAUGUCCAAGAGUUGGUCUGGCCCUACACAUCACAUAAAAGUAACUUAGAAGUUUUGUUGCUCCAAGAACAACAAAUGAUGCCUAACAUUUUUAGUCUUACAUGGAUUCAGAAACCAGAGGGAUAAUGGCAAUAUAUGCCACUAAACAACUAAUGAGAACUUCCGAGAUUAUAUUUAUUACAGUCUGAUGCUUUUUGUUAAGGGUACAAGCUUCACACACGCUUCUCAUAUAUCAAAUUGUUGCAAAACCGGAAAAAAGAAGCGGUUUUUCGCACAUUUGGUUUGUCCUUUAUGAAUAAUGUAAAAUUAGAACAAUUUUAUUGUAAGAUCCAUCAAUAGAGUAUCAUAUUAUAAUAUUUAGAUUGUAUUAGGACUUAGAGGUGGUUUGAGUAUUUUUAUGUAAUUAUUUUUUUAUUGAUAAUGUUGAAAGAUGUUAUAAGUUAGCUUACAUUAUAUGUUAAUGAGAAAUUUAAAUUUCUUUUGA
Long non-coding RNA from Humulus lupulus (European hop), 1851 nucleotides. RefSeq lists it as uncharacterized. The record is from RefSeq and is a predicted model, not a curated record. The transcript has 4 exons. Lineage: Eukaryota; Viridiplantae; Streptophyta; Magnoliopsida; Rosales; Cannabaceae.